Pocillopora verrucosa is the source of this 2655-nucleotide RNA transcript. It is a transcript of the gene named myosin heavy chain, clone 203, with no coding region annotated. NCBI's taxonomy places the organism in Eukaryota, Metazoa, Cnidaria, Anthozoa, Scleractinia, Pocilloporidae. The record is from RefSeq and is a predicted model, not a curated record.
AUGAAUUUUAAAAACAGUGUUGUAUUUAUUACUAAUUUAUUAGUCAAGGCUCAGCCGCCAGAUUCAUGAAGGUCGCUCGAGUCUUAUGACGCCUCAGGCCAUCUUCACGUGCCGAACUUGUGAAAAUAUGUUGUGCUCUGUACAGUUUAGUUGCCUUUGUUACACAAGUAAAGAUAAUUUUUGAAACUGUUUUUGAGGGCAAAAAACAUAUUUCUGAAACAAAGUUCUCAUCGGAAUGAAAAAUCACAGCAGCUGAGUUGGUAUGUCAUGGAUAUGUGUAGGCCUUCCUUGUCUACUCAGUCUAUCUACUUGGAACUUGAUAGUUUUUACGCAUCAGUGACCUCCCUGGUCGCCUAGAAAUAUUAUUUUCAAGAUAGCCCAACAUGGAAUGUAUUGUUUCAUCAUUUACUUAGCCGGUGUGGCGAUUUCUCGAUUUGGCAGCGACGACAAAAUACCAGCAGACGAUUUUAAUAAAAACAGAGUUUGCGCCGUUCUACCCCGGUGAAGUCACAUUUCGCCUUCUCCCCUCCCCUCGUCCCUUAACUGUUAGCAGUUGUCAACGCAACAGCGCCAUUUCAAAACAUGUCUUUCCAUGGCGCUCUUUGAUGUAACUCCAGUGUUAGAAGGUGCAACAAGUCUUCAAGGAAAACUAGAAGAUGCCAUUGCAAAAUCUAAGCUUCUUCUUGAAGCUGUUGAAGGUUCUCAAUCAAAGUACACUGAGUUGAGUGACGAAUAUCCUGUGCUUCGAAGUCUGAAGGGUAGACUAGCUGCAUCACAGGGGCCAAACGAAGCUUUAUCUACAGAACUCGUCAAAUUCAAAUUAGACCUUGAAUCUUUUGUGGAAGAUGUAUUUAAUGCUCACGAUCAAGUAAGGAAGGAUUUUCAACUUUGGGCAAACGAGCUUGAAAGAGAUAAUGCAAAACUACGCCGUGAAAGAAUGGACUUGGCGAACGAACGAAGAAAGCUUGAGGUUGAUCGCAGAGAUUUUGAUGCUAGGUGCCCGGCAGCAGCAAAGGAAGAACAACAAAUCACUGAAGCACGAACGGUUACCAGUACCGACGACACAGACGAGAAAUUAGUUAUUGCUGUAAAUAACAACACAGAACAUCAUGAGGAAAAUGAACAAACUAAAUCUGAAUCACCUUUUGCAACAUGUCAUGUUGAAUGCCAGACAGAAGCUGAGGUGAAUUCAGUAGAGGAGCCUGGUGGAGAAGACAUCCAAACUGCUGAGACCAUCCCAGGAAAGGAUGAAGAAGAGAAACUGGAAAUGGAAAAUCAUCAGUUGUUGCAAUGCAGGUCUCAAAUACACACAGCAUCCAUUGGUAGAAAUCAGCGCAUUCUUACUGCUCCAGUGUCCAGAGCAAAAGCUCUGCUUCUUAAAAAACAGGAUCAUGCAUUAAGGAUACACAAGAUGCUACUUGAUGAUAUCUAUAAGACGAAAGAAGAAAACCAACUUCUCAAGGCUGAGAACUCUAUACUGUCAAAGAGAGCAAAUGAAGCCACCUCUGAGUUAUUUCGCCUAAAGAACAAAAUGACAGUAAACAUGUCUGAUAGGGAUGAGCUGUACAAGAAAUUGCAGAAAUCAAAGGAGCAGAUCCUAAAACUUGAACAAACGCUGAAAAGACAAGCUCUUGGUCUGGUAUCCAAUUUAAAGGAACAAAGACAACUAAAAGAGGAAAUGAGGUGGAGCCAGGUAAGUUGGUGAAACCCAAAAGUCUGCAUGUAAUCUGAGGCCACACAUGAAGGUAGCAAAGAGGACGGGGUGUGGAGAGGAAGCAGGCUGGAACAAGAGAGGUGGAAUGAUUGAAGGGGUAGGUUGAAAGUGGAUAUGGAUGCAUGGUGGACAGAGCAAAUGAAUAGAGGGAUAGGGAAGGGAGAGGAUGCACACAAAGAAGUGGGAUAAGAUCUUUGCUCUUCCUCUUAACCAACAUUCCAGUCAAACCAGAAGGAUUCCACGAGAAAGACCAUCUACUAGGGGGCGCUAAAUGUUUUGUCAGACCAUAUGACUAAUAUGUAAAACUGGGGAAAUUUUCAACAUUCCUAGCUUGUUCUCAGUCAUUGGAGAAAUUUAUCCAUUGCUUGACAUGUACAGAGAAAGUGAACUGAUACCAAGAUAACGCAUAAUUUACAACUGAGUUGAAAACCAUUCUCUGUUCAGUACUUCUUAAAAAUAUUUAUGUUAAACAACCUUUUGAAAAUGAUAUAAAGCAGUCUAAAUUUAAAAUUGUUCUUGAAAUUAUUUAUCUGAUUAAGUGUUAAAAAAAGAAAGGAAGGUUCAGAAAAGUUAAACUUGAAAUACUACAGACGAGGAGCUGAUGCUCGAAAUUUCAGCUUUUAAACUCUUUACAGUGGCCGAUUUAAGUUAUCAGCUCAGUUGAUAAUACUUAAUUACCCAGUUAUACUCUCCCCCAUGACACAGCACCACAGUUUCCUUAGAAGCUUAGCCCCUUAAUUCAUUUUUUGAAAGCUUUCUUACAAGAAAUGUAUACAUUUUAAUUGUAGUAUAUUUAUAUACAUUCAUUGGUUUAUUUAUUCAGAGAUGCAAUAUUGAUUAAAACUAAUUUAGGUUCCUUUUACUAAAGUGUGAAUUAUUUAUCAAGAUCCCAUGUAUUCUCCUGAAGACCUAUCUGCUUCUCAUCUUGAGGUGGGCUGAAA